UUUAUAGGAGGACUUGGACUUCUCUUGAAUUAUUACUUCACGAAGUUUAGUGGCUUAUAGGUGUAUUUCCCAUAAAUUUAGGGGCCUACUUUAAUAAUAGUAAAACUUUUGUGACUAGUGUUUCUUUAAAUGUAAGUUUGAUGAAAUACUUUACAAUUUUGGAAUUAUCCAGAUUUUGUCCCAUAUAUUAAAGACAAAACAUACUUAAGAAGCAAAUUCUCUAUAUGCCACUAGAAUUUAUAGUAUUCCCAUGUUUGGCAUCUAAAUUCUUGAGUUCCCCUAUGUGCCACUGGAUAAAAUUUUGCAUCCUUUUUAGCGCCAUUCCAUUGAUUUUUCACUAUUACAGGCUAAUGGUGUUGUCACAUUUUGUUUGUAAUGCCGUAUUUGCCAUUCCUUUUGCUGAUGCGAUGGGCCCACAUGCAACCCAAAACCCCAUCCACAUGACUCAACCAAUCCC
Molecule: long non-coding RNA, 457 nt
Filed under: Setaria viridis
Lineage: Eukaryota; Viridiplantae; Streptophyta; Magnoliopsida; Poales; Poaceae
Description: long non-coding RNA (SVIR_LNC007427)
Source: RNAcentral